AGGCCCCACGGAACGCUUCCCACAGAACAUCAUUCUUCCUUCUCUUCCUCCUGUGUCUCUAGGGCUGCUUCGUAAUAAGACGGAUGCACUGAAUACAGGCAUUUGUGAUUCUCAGCCGCCAAAAAGUCCCAGCCUGAGCUGGGGGUGGAGAAGAUGAAUCAGAGCCAAGGCACAGCUGGGCUGCCAGGUGUCCAGGACUGACAGCUGCCGCCUGGGGUUUGCCUGGUGGUGGUCCCAAAGGCAGUCUGGUGUGCAGAGUCUUCGUGGUGCGGCUUGGAUGUUCCGUGUCUGUGGUGCCCAUCGGUUCAGUUCUCAAAGGGCCAGGUCACCAGGAUAAGGUUUCUGUUUUCCUGUGGGGAUUGCCUGAAGUCUCUGCUUUAUGCUACAGGCUGGAAUUUGUGUCUUCAACAAAGG
This is a long non-coding RNA of Phyllostomus hastatus (greater spear-nosed bat), 414 nucleotides long. RefSeq lists it as uncharacterized. The transcript is spliced from 3 exons. The record is from RefSeq and is a predicted model, not a curated record. NCBI's taxonomy places the organism in Eukaryota, Metazoa, Chordata, Mammalia, Chiroptera, Phyllostomidae.